AACGAACGCUGGCGGCAUGCCUAACACAUGCAAGUCGAACGAGACCUUCGGGUCUUGUGGCGCACGGGUGCGUACCGCGUGGGAACCUGCCCUUAGGUUCGGUAUACCUCCCCGAAAGGGGUGCUAAUACCGGAUAAUGUCUUCGGACCAAAGAUUUCUCGCUUUUGGAUGGGCCCGCGUUGGUUUCGCUAGUUGGUAGGGUAAAAGCCUAGCAAGGCGACGAUCCAUAGCUGGUCUGGGAGGAGGAUCAGCCACGCUGGGACUGAGACACGGCCCAGACUCCUACGGGAGGGAGCAGUGGGGAAUAUUGGACAAUGGGCGAAAGCCUGAUCCAGCAAUGCCGGGGGAGUGAUGAAGGCCUUAGGGUUGUAAAGCUCUUUUACCCGGGAUGAUAAUGACAGUACCGGGAGAAUAAGCUCCGGCUAACUCCGUG
This 433-nucleotide ribosomal RNA is filed under the name uncultured bacterium. Its description in RNAcentral is "partial 16S ribosomal RNA". It matches the Rfam family "Bacterial small subunit ribosomal RNA", at positions 29 to 507 of the family's 1533-position model. The record is from RNAcentral.